This 567-nucleotide ribosomal RNA is filed under the name uncultured bacterium. RNAcentral describes it as "partial 16S ribosomal RNA". It matches the Rfam family "Bacterial small subunit ribosomal RNA", at positions 355 to 914 of the family's 1533-position model. The record is from RNAcentral.
UGGGGAAUAUUGCACAAUGGGCGCAAGCCUGAUGCAGCCAUGCCGCGUGUGUGAAGAAGGCCUUCGGGUUGUAAAGCACUUUCAGCGAGGAGGAAGGUGGUGAACUUAAUACGUUCAUCAAUUGACGUUACUCGCAGAAGAAGCACCGGCUAACUCCGUGCCAGCAGCCGCGGUAAUACGGAGGAUGCAAGCGUUAAUCGGAAUUACUGGGCGUAAAGCGCACGCAGGCGGUUUGUUAAGUCAGAUGUGAAAUCCCCGGGCUCAACCUGGGAACUGCAUUUGAAACUGGCAAGCUAGAGUCUCGUAGAGGGGGGUAGAAUUCCAGGUGUAGCGGUGAAAUGCGUAGAGAUCUGGAGGAAUACCGGUGGCGAAGGCGGCCCCCUGGACGAAGACUGACGCUCAGGUGCGAAAGCGUGGGGAGCAAACAGGAUUAGAUACCCUGGUAGUCCACGCUGUAAACGAUGUCGAUUUGGAGGUUGUGCCCUUGAGGCGUGGCUUCCGGAGCUAACGCGUUAAAUCGACCGCCUGGGGAGUACGGCCGCAAGGUUAAAACUCAAAUGAAUUGAC